Long non-coding RNA from Oncorhynchus tshawytscha (Chinook salmon), 646 nucleotides. NCBI's taxonomy places the organism in Eukaryota, Metazoa, Chordata, Actinopteri, Salmoniformes, Salmonidae. The record is from Ensembl.
GUAGGUCUGAUAACAAUCAAUAUGGACCAUCAGUAGGCCUGAUAACAAUUAAUAUGGACCAUCAGUAGGCCUGAUAACAAUCAAUAUGGACCAUCAGUAGGUCUGAUAACAAUCAAUAUGGACCAUCUGUAGGCCUGAUAACAAUAUUGACCAUCUGUAGGCCUGAUAACAAUAUGGACCAUCUGUAGGCCUGAUAACAAUAUGGGCCAUCUGUAGGCCUGAUGACAAUAUGGACCAUCAGUAGGCCUGAUAACAAUAUGGACCAUCAGUAGGUCUGAUAACAAUAUGGACCAUCAGUAGGCCUGAUAACAAUAUGGACCAUCAGUAGGACUGAUAACAAUAUGGACCAUCACUAGGUCUGAUAACAAUAUGGACCAUCAGUAGGACUGAUAACAAUAUGGACCAUCACUAGGUCUGAUAACAACACAACUGCCCAUUUACUGUUAGUUCCCUUCAGUUGGUAUAGUCCACAUUAUCAUUCCAGUCAUUUCACUGUUUGGUUUACCUUCAUUUGCUUUCUUUGUAAACGCCGUCACGGCCGUGUGGUUGUUUUGAAGAUCAUUAGUAAAGUUGACAGUAUUAAGAAAGACAUGCUAAUAGUUAUGGAGAGGAGAACAGACCAAGCCCUAACACAUGGCGAUGUAAU